AGACGGAGGGCUCAAACGUUGUUCGGAAUUACUGGGCAUAAAGCGCACGCAGGCGGCUUGCUAAGUCGAGUGUGAAAUCCCCCGGCUCAACCGGGGAACUGCACUCGAAACUGGCGAGCUCGAGGACGGCAGGGGUAAGUGGAACUCCAGGUGGAACGGUGAAAUGUGUAGAUAUCUUGAGGAACACCGGUGGCGAAAGCGGCUUACUGGGCCGUCUCUGACGCUGAGGUGCGAAAGCUAGGGUAGCGAACGGGAGUAGAAACCCCGGUAGUCC
This 274-nucleotide ribosomal RNA is filed under the name uncultured bacterium. RNAcentral describes it as "partial 16S ribosomal RNA". It matches the Rfam family "Bacterial small subunit ribosomal RNA", at positions 523 to 796 of the family's 1533-position model. The record is from RNAcentral.